UUUUUUUUUUUCCUCUCUUUUUUUUUUUCCUCUUUUUUUCUCUUUUUUUUUUUUUGCACAAAACAGGACAUUUAUUCAAGUGUUCUCCAGCACAAGUACAUUAGAAAGGAGCUCGUCUGUAUUAUACUCUUCUGGGCACCAAAGAAAAAAAAGAAAAGGAGGAUGGGAUGGAAGCGGGACGGACAGACUUUCUACAUCUGCUGCACGCAUUGACCUUUAUUAGUUCAGAACAGCUAUGUCACGAGCAAUACUCACACAGAUACAACAGCGCCGGGCGCCCGCGGCACCUCCGGCCGUGAAAUGCACAGUUCAGCGGCAAUAAAUAGAGAAGCGACCCUAAAAAAACAAACCAACAAAAAAACAGGGGCAACGAACCGAGAGAGAAUAGAAAAUAAACCGGGGUGGGGGGAGAAGGGCAGGCAGAGCAGCCGGGGCGGCCGCGGCGGCGCCGGGAAUGUGGCGGCGGAGCCAAAUCAAAGGGAGGAGGAAGAGGAGGAGGAAGAGGAAGGGAGGGAGGAAGGAGGGUACCAGCUCUACAGCGUAUUCCUCGGGAUGAUGAGUACAUGAUUCCCACAAAUAGUUAAGCGUCAGCUACUUCAAUGUCUAGGCUAAAACACAUGAAAUCUCUCAUUUAGUUUUCAAGUACAAAGUUAAAAUGCCUUUUUCUUUUUUGUUUUUUUUUUUUAAUAAUAAUAUAUAAGAGUAAAAUAAUAGUGCUCUUUGAAACUCCACUACGAGAAACAAAACAGUCAUUGUCCAGACAGCAGACUUAAUUUAACAAUAUAUAUUUUUAAUAAAAUGUUUUAGCACCGUGUUUGUCCCCACUCCCUCGGCGGAUCUUAAGGAAUUCAGGCCUUGCUGUGUUGUUUUGAGUUUUCAUCUAGGGCUGUGCAACAGAAUUUGUCUGGUUGGUUUUGUUUAAAAAAAGACGUGAGUCGGGUACUUUGUUAAAAACUGAACUCUCGCCCCAGGCAUCCCCACGGUCCCACCGCCGCCGGCACAGGAACCCGCUUCCCACGGCGCCGGUACCGGUCCGGAACCGGCACGGAACCGGCACCGGAACUGGCAUCAGAACUGGCACAGAACCGGUACUGGCACCAGCACCAGAACCAGCACAGAACCAGUACAGGUACUGGCACCAGAACCAGUACCGGAACUGGCACAGAACUGGUACUGGCACCAGAACUGGAACAGACCUGGCACUGGAACCGUCACAGAACCGGCACCAGAACUGGCCCAGGUACAGGCACCAGUACUGCCGCAGAACCGGUACUGGCACCAGAACCGGCACUGGUACCAGAACUGGCACCAGAGCCGGUGCCAGAACUGGCACUGGCACCGGCACAGAACCGGCACCAGCACCAGCACCGAACCAGCACCAGAACUGGCACGAGAACCUGCACCAGUACUGGCACCGGCACCGGCUGCGCCAACGCUGCAGCACCUGCUGGGACCCAGCCCCCAAAGGUGCAGCAGGGCCAGGGGCUCCCAGGAGGAGCUGCAGGGCUGAGCUGAGCCGGGCCGGCCCCGGGGGUCCCUGGGACCCCCAAACCCAGCGCGGGGCCGUGCAGAACCUGCAGCACCCAGAGCACUGGGCAGCACCGGCACCCGGAGCUGCAGGACCGCGCAGGGUCAGCGCCCAGUGCCACAGAGCCGUGCAGGGUCAGCACCCAGUGCCACAGAGCCGUGCAGGACCUGCCAACAAUGUCGCAGGGCCGUGCAGGACCAGCACCCAGCACCUCAAGGCCAUGCAGGAUCAGCACCCAGUGCCACAGGGCCGUGCAGGCCCUGCAUUUGCCACGGCGAGGCCACGCAGGGCCUGCAGUCAGCGCUGCAGGGCCAUGCAGCACCAGCACCCAGGUCUGUGGGACUGUGCAGGACCCACAGGCAGCACCAUGGAUCCAUGCAGGACCCACAGCCAGGGGCACAGAGCCAUGCAGGACCUGCAGCAGUGCUGCAGGGCCAUGCAGGACCCGCAGUGCCCACUGUGCCCCACACAGGACGCCCGGGGCCAUGCCAGCCCCACACACGGGCUCAUGGGCUCAGACAGCAGCAGGCAGGCAGGACCCGUGCCCGGUGCAGCGGUCCUGUGCCAGGCUGUGCCAUGCUGUGCCACCCGGCCCCGGUGCGAGCAGGAGCCCGGUGCCCUCUGCCUGCCACCCUCAGUCCCCGGCACAGCCAGGCCCCGCGGUGCCCCCGCCGCGGCCGCCUGUGCCAGCUCAGCUCCCCGUGCCCCCCGCACGCAGAGGGGCCCCCAGCCCCCAGUAGCACCAGCAGGGAGGGGAGCCGGGGCCCCUCGCCGCCGUCGGUCCCAGCACCUCGGGGGCUCGGGCCGCGGCUCGCUGCCAUUAGCCAGCACCCCGCAGCGAGCGCGGCCCCGGGCCCGCACCUUUCACAGUUAG
Junco hyemalis (dark-eyed junco) is the source of this 2402-nucleotide long non-coding RNA. Lineage: Eukaryota; Metazoa; Chordata; Aves; Passeriformes; Passerellidae. The record is from Ensembl.